This 256-nucleotide ribosomal RNA is filed under the name uncultured bacterium. RNAcentral describes it as "partial 16S ribosomal RNA". It matches the Rfam family "Bacterial small subunit ribosomal RNA", at positions 1247 to 1500 of the family's 1533-position model. The record is from RNAcentral.
CAGCCACCCCGCCGAGGGGGAGGCGAAUCUACAAAACCGGUCUCAGUUCGGAUCGCAGUCUGCAACUCGACUGCGUGAAGCUGGAAUCGCUAGUAAUCGCGCAUCAGCCAUGGCGCGGUGAAUACGUUCCCGGGCCUUGUACACACCGCCCGUCACACCAUGAGAGUUUGUAACACCCAAAGCCGGUGGGGUAACCUUUUGGAGCCAGCCGUCUAAGGUGGGACAGAUGAUUGGGGUGAAGUCGUAACAAGGUAUC